GACGAACGCUGGCGGCGUGCUUAACACAUGCAAGUCGAACGGAAAGGCCCUGCGUUUGUGGGGUGCUCGAGUGGCGAACGGGUGAGUAACACGUGAGUAACCCGCCCUUGACUUUGGGAUAACUUCAGGAGACUGGGGCUAAUACCGGAUAGGAGCUCCUGCUGCAUGGUGGGGGUUGGAAAGUUUCGGCGGUUGGGGAUGGACUCGCGGCUUAUCCGCUUGUUGGUGGGGUAGUGGCUUACCAAGGCUUUGACGGGUAGCCGGCCUGAGAGGGGGACCGGGCACAAUGCGCCUACGAGACGGCGCAGACUCCAAUGGGAGGCAGUAGGGGGGAGCAUUGCGGAACAGGCGGAAGCCUGAUGCGGCAGUGCCGCGAGCGGGAAGCCGGGCUUCUGGUUGUAAACCACUGUCGCAGGUGACGAAGCGUGAGUGACGGUAAUGGGUAAAGAAGCACCGGCUAACUACGUG
Molecule: ribosomal RNA, 468 nt
Filed under: uncultured bacterium
Lineage: Bacteria
Description: partial 16S ribosomal RNA
Rfam family: Bacterial small subunit ribosomal RNA
Source: RNAcentral